RNAcentral lists this long non-coding RNA (1410 nucleotides) under Canis lupus familiaris (dog). RNAcentral's name for it is "lncRNA (ENSCAFG00030007804.1, ENSCAFG00040017846.1)". Lineage: Eukaryota; Metazoa; Chordata; Mammalia; Carnivora; Canidae. The record is from RNAcentral.
GAAGCGGGUGCCCCGGGCAAGUGUGUAAACACUCCUGGGAGCUUAGGAGGGCUGUUUGCAGGCCGCGGAAGCUGGGGCAGCGCGCUCACGGCGGUGCCCUCUGCAGCCCCAGGAGCGCGGGUUCCCAGGGAGGAAGAGCGUGGGUGCCCGAGGUGCGCUCAGGGACGGUCGGGGCCCAGGCGAGCGGGUUCUGUGCUGCAGGCCCCCAGCCACGGUCGCCCCCUGCCAGCCCGAUGCAGCGCAGGCCGCGAGCAUAGGCCAUGGGGGCAGAGGCCACUCGGGCCAGGCCUCCUUGACCCAGGUCGCCCGCUGCCCAGAUCGCCUGCCCGGCUGCGCUGCAGCCCAUCCCUCCGCUCGGGCCUGGCCUCCUCGACCCAGGUCGCUGGUGGCCCAGGUCGCCGGCCCCGCUGCGCACAGCCCACCCCUGCGCUGGGGCCCGGCCUCCUUGACCUAGGUCGCCUGCGGCCCAGGUUGCCUGCUCGGCUGCACCGCAGCCCAUCUCUCCGCUUGGCCCGGCCUCUUCCACCCAGGUCGCCUGCAGCCCAGGUCGCCUCCACCUCGACCCAGGUUGCCCGCGGCCCAGGUCGCCUGCCCGGCGGCACCGCAGCCCAUCCCUCCACUCUGCCCGGCCUCCUCGACCCAGGUCGCCGGCCCCGCUGCGCGCCGGUCCCCUCUCGGGAGCCAGGCCGCCAGGCCCCGGGGCAGGCGGGGCGCACGCCGCUCGCACAGCGCCCGCGGCCUCCAUCGCAGCCGCCCACCGCCCCGAGGCCCACCCGAGAGCAGCGGGCGCCCGCGACCUCCCCCCCCCCCCCCCCCCCCCCCGGCGGGGCACCGCAGCAGCAAGCGGCGGCCGGGGCCUGGGACCUGGGGCCUGGAGCCAGGCGGCCCUGCUGCUCGGCGGCCCUGCCCCGGGUGCCGGCUCCAUCCCUCCAGGCGGCCUCCCUCCGGCCCCCCCAGGCUGAUGUCGGGGGGCGGGAGCUGCAAACACGCACGCGGCAAUUACAGCUCAUUAGCUGCCCCCCGUCCGGGAGCCGCGUCCCGAGGCCGGCGCCGGCUGCAGAGCCGGGUGGGCCGCGCGUCUACACUCGCCAAGCCCCGGUCCCGACCGCGCAGCGGGCCGGCGCGGGGAGGCCGGGGCCGGGGCUGCCGGAGCCGCGCGGCCUGGGGCGGGUCCACCUGCGGCCCUUCCCGGCCGGGCCUAGGCAAGCCAGGGCCCCGGGGUGCGCCCACCCCGCGGGGGUCACCGAGGCCGCCCCGGGCCGCGGGCCGCGACAGCCGGCGGAGCCCGAGCGAGCAGUCGGGCGAGUCCCUGCCGGCCUCCCUGCCCGGGGACCGCCGCGCCCUGGGGCGCCCUGGCCGCUGCGACCUUCCCGAGCAAAUCAGAGGCCACGGAGAGCAGGGUUUGACUGA